UUGGGGUUGUCCAGCUGAGGCAAGGCCUUAUAGGCCAAAUGAAAAGAAACUGGAUGCUAAGAUGGUUAGUAGCUAUUUUGUUGGAUAAUCUGAAAAAUCCAGGGGGUUUUAAGUUUUAUGAUCCCACUUCUAGAACUAUUUUUGAGGCGGGUAAUGCUAGGUUCUUUGAGGAUAUUGAGUUUGGGGGGUGGGGAGAUAAAGUAGUUAGAGAUUUUGUCUUCAAGGAAGAACAUGUGUCUUUCCCUCAAAUUGUUGAUCUUGGUCUUACUGACUCGGAUCACACAACUCCGGUUCAAGACAAUCUCGAAAAUCUCCCCCAUCACCACUUCUAGAACUAUUUUUGAGGCGGGUAAUGCUAGGUUCUUUGAGGAUAUUGAGUUUGGGGGGUGGGGAGAUAAAGUAGUUAGAGAUUUUGUCUUCAAGGAAGAACAUGUGUCUUUCCCUCAAGUUGUUGAUCUUGGUCACAUUCCUGACACAGAUCACACAACUCUGGUUCAAGACAAUCUCGAAAAUCUUCCCCAU
RNAcentral lists this long non-coding RNA (522 nucleotides) under Nicotiana benthamiana. Its description in RNAcentral is "long non-coding RNA (NBEN_LNC020242)". Lineage: Eukaryota; Viridiplantae; Streptophyta; Magnoliopsida; Solanales; Solanaceae. The record is from RNAcentral.